Molecule: ribosomal RNA, 466 nt
Filed under: uncultured bacterium
Lineage: Bacteria
Description: partial 16S ribosomal RNA
Rfam family: Bacterial small subunit ribosomal RNA
Source: RNAcentral
GACGAACGCUGGCGGCGCGCCUAACACAUGCAAGUCGAACGAGCGAGAGAGAGCUUGCUUUCUUGAGCGAGUGGCGAACAGGUGAGUAACGCGUGAGGAACCUGCCUCAAAGAGGGGGACAACAGUUGGAAACGACUGCUAAUACCGCAUAAGCCCACGACCCGGCAUCGGGUUGAGGGAAAAGGAGCAAUCCGCUUUGAGAUGGCCUCGCGUCCGAUUAGCUAGUUGGUGAGGUAACGGCCCACCAAGGCGACGAUCGGUAGCCGGACUGAGAGGUUGAACGGCCACAUUGGGACUGAGACACGGCCCAGACUCCUACGGGAGGCAGCAGUGGGGAAUAUUGCACAAUGGGGGAAACCCUGAUGCAGCGACGCCGCGUGGAGGAAGAAGGUCUUCGGAUUGUAAACUCCUGUUGUUGAGGAAGAUAAUGACGGUACUCAACAAGGAAGUGACGGCUAACUACGUG